This 1372-nucleotide ribosomal RNA is filed under the name uncultured bacterium. RNAcentral's name for it is "bacterial SSU rRNA". It matches the Rfam family "Bacterial small subunit ribosomal RNA", at positions 28 to 1381 of the family's 1533-position model. The record is from RNAcentral.
GAUAAACGCUGGCGGCGUGCCUAAUACAUGCAAGUCGAGCGAACGGACGAGAAGCUUGCUUCUCUGAUGUUAGCGGCGGACGGGUGAGUAACACGUGGAUAACCUACCUAUAAGACUGGGAUAACUUCGGGAAACCGGAGCUAAUACCGGAUAAUAUUUUGAACCGCAUGGUUCAAAAGUGAAAGACGGUCUUGCUGUCACUUAUAGAUGGAUCCGCGCUGCAUUAGCUAGUUGGUAAGGUAACGGCUUACCAAGGCAACGAUGCAUAGCCGACCUGAGAGGGUGAUCGGCCACACUGGAACUGAGACACGGUCCAGACUCCUACGGGAGGCAGCAGUAGGGAAUCUUCCGCAAUGGGCGAAAGCCUGACGGAGCAACGCCGCGUGAGUGAUGAAGGUCUUCGGAUCGUAAAACUCUGUUAUUAGGGAAGAACAUAUGUGUAAGUAACUGUGCACAUCUUGACGGUACCUAAUCAGAAAGCCACGGCUAACUACGUGCCAGCAGCCGCGGUAAUACGUAGGUGGCAAGCGUUAUCCGGAAUUAUUGGGCGUAAAGCGCGCGUAGGCGGUUUUUUAAGUCUGAUGUGAAAGCCCACGGCUCAACCGUGGAGGGUCAUUGGAAACUGGAAAACUUGAGUGCAGAAGAGGAAAGUGGAAUUCCAUGUGUAGCGGUGAAAUGCGCAGAGAUAUGGAGGAACACCAGUGGCGAAGGCGACUUUCUGGUCUGUAACUGACGCUGAUGUGCGAAAGCGUGGGGAUCAAACAGGAUUAGAUACCCUGGUAGUCCACGCCGUAAACGAUGAGUGCUAAGUGUUAGGGGGUUUCCGCCCCUUAGUGCUGCAGCUAACGCAUUAAGCACUCCGCCUGGGGAGUACGACCGCAAGGUUGAAACUCAAAGGAGUUGACGGGGACCCGCACAAGCGGUGGAGCAUGUGGUUUAAUUCGAAGCAACGCGAAGAACCUUACCAAAUCUUGACAUCCUUUGACAACUCUAGAGAUAGAGCCUUCCCCUUCGGGGGACAAAGUGACAGGUGGUGCAUGGUUGUCGUCAGCUCGUGUCGUGAGAUGUUGGGUUAAGUCCCGCAACGAGCGCAACCCUUAAGCUUAGUUGCCAUCAUUAAGUUGGGCACUCUAAGUUGACUGCCGGUGACAAACCGGAGGAAGGUGGGGAUGACGUCAAAUCAUCAUGCCCCUUAUGAUUUGGGCUACACACGUGCUACAAUGGACAAUACAAAGGGCAGCGAAACCGCGAGGUCAAGCAAAUCCCAUAAAGUUGUUCUCAGUUCGGAUUGUAGUCUGCAACUCGACUACAUGAAGCUGGAAUCGCUAGUAAUCGUAGAUCAGCAUGCUACGGUGAAUACGUUCCCGGGUCU